Molecule: ribosomal RNA, 855 nt
Filed under: uncultured bacterium
Lineage: Bacteria
Description: partial 16S small subunit ribosomal RNA
Rfam family: Bacterial small subunit ribosomal RNA
Source: RNAcentral
UGCAAGUCGAGCGAACCCUUCGGGGUGAGCGGCGGANGGGUGAGUAACGCGUGGGUAACCUGCCCUAUACACACGGAUAACAUACCGAAAGGUAUGCUAAUACGGGAUAAUGUGUUUUGAUCGCAUGGUCGAAAUAUCAAAGCUCCGGCGGUAUAGGAUGGACCCGCGUCUGAUUAGCUAGUUGGUAAGGUAAUGGCUUACCAAGGCGACGAUCAGUAGCCGACCUGAGAGGGUGACCGGCCACAUUGGAACUGAGACACGGUCCAAACUCCUACGGGAGGCAGCAGUGGGGAAUAUUGCACAAUGGGCGAAAGCCUGAUGCAGCAACGCCGCGUGAGCGAUGAAGGCCUUCGGGUCGUAAAGCUCUGUCCUCAAGGAAGAUAAUGACGGUACUUGAGGAGGAAGCCCCGGCUAACUACGUGCCAGCAGCCGCGGUAAUACGUANGGGGCUAGCGUUAUCCGGAUUUACUGGGCGUAAAGGGUGCGUAGGUGGUUUUUCAAGUCAGGAGUGAAAGGCUACGGCUCAACCGUANUAAGCUCUUGAAACUGUUAAACUUGAGUGCAGGAGAGGAGAGUGGAAUUCCUAGUGUAGCGGUGAAAUGCGUAGAUAUUANGAGGAACACCAGUUGCGAANGCGGCUCUCUGGACUGUAACUGACACUGANGCACGAAAGCGUGGGGAGCAAACAGNANUAGAUACCCUGGUAGUCCACGCCGUAAACGAUGANUACUAGCUGUCGGGGGUUACCCCCCUCGGNGGCGCAGCUAACGCAUUAANUACUNCGCCNGGGNAGUNCGCUCGCNAGANUGAAACUCAAANGANNUGACGGGGNNCCGCACGANUAGCGGANCAUGU